This 449-nucleotide ribosomal RNA is filed under the name uncultured bacterium. RNAcentral's name for it is "partial 16S ribosomal RNA". It matches the Rfam family "Bacterial small subunit ribosomal RNA", at positions 29 to 523 of the family's 1533-position model. The record is from RNAcentral.
AAUGAACGCUGGCGGCAGGCCCAACACAUGCAAGUCGAACGGAUCCUUCGGGAUUAGUGGCGGACGGGUGAGUAACGCGUGGGAACAUACCCUUUGGUACGGAAUAGCCUCGGGAAACUGGGAGUAAUACCGUAUGUGGUCGAGAGACGAAAGAUUUAUCGCCAAAGGAUUGGCCCGCGUUGGAUUAGGUAGUUGGUGGGGUAAUGGCCUACCAAGCCGACGAUCCAUAGCUGGUUUGAGAGGAUGAUCAGCCACACUGGGACUGAGACACGGCCCAGACUCCUACGGGAGGCAGCAGUGGGGAAUCUUAGACAAUGGGGGAAACCCUGAUCUAGCCAUGCCGCGUGAUCGAUGAAGGCCUUAGGGUUGUAAAGAUCUUUCAGGUGGGAAGAUAAUGACUGUACCACCAGAAAAAGCCCCGGCUAACUCCGUGCCAGCAGCCGCGGUAA